GGGGGCGAACAGGUCUCGACAGGGAGAACUGGAGGAAGAGAAGCAAGCCGAGGUGCCCGAGGCCUCGUAAAACACGGGUGUUUUCAAAAAGUGCCGAAAACGAAUUAGCAAUGGCUGCUUAAAGUUAAGUAGUCCGUCUGCCUAGAGACUUGUUACUCGGUUUCUAGAUGGGCGUCAAAAUUAGAGUAACUACCUUUUCCAAUUGCUCUAAAAGGAGAAGGGAAUUAUUAAAAGAGCUAGGUUAAUAAGCCCUGCGGCUGGGCAGAGGGAUAUUAACCGAAACAAAACACCUAGCCUAAGCUUGUAGAAGCUCUUCUUUUAGGCUUCUUGGACGCGGGUUCGAUUCCCGCCGCCUCCAUAA
Molecule: transfer-messenger RNA, 361 nt
Filed under: Vulcanimicrobiota
Lineage: Bacteria; Bacillati
Also listed under: 1 other name
Description: JAKJGF01 sp022704525 X1 Standard tmRNA
Rfam family: transfer-messenger RNA
About the family: Bacterial tmRNA, also known as 10Sa RNA or SsrA, is named for its dual tRNA and mRNA-like properties.
Source: RNAcentral